AUUGAACGCUGGCGGCAGGCCUAACACAUGCAAGUCGAGCGAAAGAGUGUGCUUGCACACUCGAAAGCGGCGGACGGGUGAGGAACGCGUGGGCAUCUGCCUGUAGAUGGGGGAUAGCCCGGAGAAAUCCGGAUUAAUACCGCAUAAUACCUGAGGGUUAAAGUGGAGGAUCGCAAGACUUCACGUCUACAGAUGAGCCCACGUCAGAUUAGCUAGUUGGUAGGGUAAAGGCCUACCAAGGCGACGUUGUGUAGCUGGCCUGAGAGGGUGGCCAGCCAGACUGGAACAGGGACACGGUCCAGACUCCUACGGGAGGCAGCAGUGGGGAAUAUUGGGCAAUGGGCGCAAGCCUGAUCCAGCCAUGCCGCGUGUGUGAAGAAGGCCUUCGGGUUGUAAAGCACUUUAAGUUGGGAGGAAGGUUCGAUGGCUAAUAUCCAUCGGAAUUGACGUUACCAACAGAAUAAGCACCGGCUAAUUCCGUGCCAGCCGCCGCCGUAA
Molecule: ribosomal RNA, 498 nt
Filed under: uncultured bacterium
Lineage: Bacteria
Description: partial 16S ribosomal RNA
Rfam family: Bacterial small subunit ribosomal RNA
Source: RNAcentral